This 450-nucleotide ribosomal RNA is filed under the name uncultured bacterium. RNAcentral describes it as "bacterial SSU rRNA". It matches the Rfam family "Bacterial small subunit ribosomal RNA", at positions 354 to 796 of the family's 1533-position model. The record is from RNAcentral.
GUGGGGAAUAUUGGACAAUGGGCGCAAGCCUGAUCCAGCCAUACCGCGUGGGUGAAGAAGGCCUUCGGGUUGUAAAGCCCUUUUGUUGGGAAAGAAAUCCUGUCGGUUAAUACCUGGCGGGGAUGACGGUACCCAAAGAAUAAGCACCGGCUAACUUCGUGCCAGCAGCCGCGGGAAUACGAAGGGUGCAAGCGUUACUCGGAAUUACUGGGCGUAAAGCGUGCGUAGGUGGUGGGUUAAGUCCGUUGUGAAAGCCCUGGGCUCAACCUGGGAAUUGCAGUGGAUACUGGAUCACUAGAGUGUGGUAGAGGGAUGCGGAAUUUCUGGUGUAGCAGUGAAAUGCGUAGAGAUCAGAAGGAACAUCCGUGGCGAAGGCGGCAUCCUGGGCCAACACUGACACUGAGGCACGAAAGCGUGGGGAGCAAACAGGAUUAGAUACCCUGGUAGUCC